Molecule: ribosomal RNA, 1146 nt
Filed under: Triticum aestivum (bread wheat)
Lineage: Eukaryota; Viridiplantae; Streptophyta; Magnoliopsida; Poales; Poaceae
Description: partial small subunit ribosomal RNA
Source: RNAcentral
AUGGCGGCGGCGGCGGACUGGUCAAGCCUUCACCAGGACCUCCUCAGCCGUAUCUUCCUCCUAAUCGCAUGCCUCGCCGACCGCGUCAGGGCCUCCGCCGCCUGCAAGCACUGGCGCCGCGUUGCGCUGGAUGACCCGCCCACGCUCCCCUGGCUCCUCACGCCCUCCACCGCCGGCAUCUCCUGCUACCGCAUCUUCGGCGGCUUAGACCAUCCGCGCCCGUCCAUCCCCGGCGAGGUCCACGGGGCGCGUUUCUGCGGCUCCUUUCCCGGCGGCUGGUUCGUGGCCGCGCAACACGACUGGCGCGCCCACGCCCUGCUCAACCUCCGGUCCGGCGAGCGCGUUCCCCUUCCGGGCCGCGUGCGCAUCCCCCUGUACCCCAUCGUCCUCAAGUGCCCAAUAGUAAUCCGCGUCGCCGCCACGUCCGCCCCGCCAUCGUCUGGCGCCUGCGUCGUCGCUGCCCUAACGUCAGGCCUGACCACCUUGGCGUUCUGGCGCCCGGGCAUGGACUGCUGGUCGCAACCGCCGAUGGGAAUUGUCGUUCCGCACAACGCCCAGGACCUGACAUACCAUGACGGAUGGUUCUGGGCCAUCACCCCCGCGGAGAAUCUCGUGUGCUACAAGCCGGAGAUCAACGAUGGAGACGCCGCCUCUCUUACUAUUCGACAUCUCGUCUACAAGUCCCAUGGACAUGGUCACCACCAGAUGACCACGACGACCCCGACGGCACCCGGGAAGGCCGUCUCCCGCUACCUCUUGCCCUCCGCCUCCGGCGCCGAUCUGCUGAUGGUGAAGAGGUUCGUCGCGCCGGCGAGAGGCGGCGCCACGUUGCGCUUCGAGGUCUUCAGCCUACACAAGGAACAGGACGGACGGUCGGCUUCCUGGCGCUCCUACCCGAUGAGCGGGCGGCUGCUCUUCGUCGGCCGCAGCUGCUCCAAGGCAUUCGACACCGGGCACGCCGGCAGCCCGGGCUACAUCUACUUCCUCGACGACGUCUACCCUAGGGGUCCGCUCAGCGUCCUUCAGCAGAAAGUGUAUCCCUGCGUGGACACUGGCGCGUGGGAUUGCUCCCGUCAGGAAAUCAAGCGCUGCCUGCCAUGCUCGCCUCCCUCGGACAGCUCGCCCUGCAUUUGGUACCUUCAUUGA